This is a long non-coding RNA of Homo sapiens (human), 564 nucleotides long. The record is from Ensembl. Lineage: Eukaryota; Metazoa; Chordata; Mammalia; Primates; Hominidae.
AGGACCUAAGUAGCUCCUGGGGAUGGGAAAGAGAUGACUGACUGAGGUGGUUGAUGGGAUUCUUACAGCAACAAAGCACCAUCUUGGAAGCAGAGAGCCACCCUCACCAGAACUGAAUGCAGGCACCGUGACCUUGAACUUCCCAGCCUCCAGAACUUGCUGCCAGGACCUGCAGAACUCCAGAUGGAUUCCCCUGGCUGACACUUGAAAGAUUUUUGCUCUAACUUAAUAGAAAUGACAGACUGGCAAAGCCAUAGUUAAAUCAGCUGGAGGAGCCACAAAUCAAAUCAUCUUUACAGAAAGAUGUGAGUGCACAUGGAAAUUUAUGGAGUCUCUCAGCAUUGUAGAAGAGCCUCUGUUUCUUCUCACUGGUUCCUGUCCUCCUCAGCUUGGUAUAUAACUCCUGAGGGCUGAAUACCUGGUUGCUGAAGGAUCCAGUCCCUGCCCUAUAACCGAGGAAGAAUUUCUACUUCCCCUUCCUGUCCAGAAGUGAUAUUCCCAGUUGCCUUCAACACGGAACCACCGCUUUCCAGGCUUGGCUGUCCAGAUACCCCUGAGCUCCCC